RNAcentral lists this long non-coding RNA (181 nucleotides) under Chloebia gouldiae (Gouldian finch). RNAcentral describes it as "Erythrura gouldiae (Gouldian finch) lncRNA (ENSEGOG00005015370.1)". Lineage: Eukaryota; Metazoa; Chordata; Aves; Passeriformes; Passeridae. The record is from RNAcentral.
GGCCGUUUGAAUUAUGCAAUGAAUUGUUACAAAGUGUUUUAAAAUAUAUCAGACUUCACAAAAAGUAAUUUUUAUCCGGAAGCCAUGGUUCUGUGGUUCCUCCGGAACGAAGAAACAAUAACAAGGACACAGCCUGACCAAGCCAGCACCUGCCUGAUUCCAAGCUCCUCCUGCAGGCAGG